RNAcentral lists this ribosomal RNA (461 nucleotides) under uncultured bacterium. RNAcentral describes it as "bacterial SSU rRNA". It matches the Rfam family "Bacterial small subunit ribosomal RNA", at positions 34 to 507 of the family's 1533-position model. The record is from RNAcentral.
CGCUGGCGGCAUGCCUAACACAUGCAAGUCGAACGGAGAAAAGAAAGCUUGCUUUCUUUUCUUAGUGGCGGACGGGUGAGUAACGCGUGAGUAACCUGCCUUUCAGAGGGGGAUAACGUUCUGAAAAAGAUCGCUAAUACCGCAUGAGACUACAGAGCUGCAUGGCUCAGUGGUCAAAGGAGCAAUCCGCUGAAAGAUGGACUCGCGUCCGAUUAGAUAGUUGGCGGGGUAACGGCCCACCAAGUCGACGAUCGGUAGCCGGACUGAGAGGUUGAACGGCCACAUUGGGACUGAGACACGGCCCAGACUCCUACGGGAGGCAGCAGUGAGGGAUAUUCGGCAAUGGGGGAAACCCUGACCGAGCAAUGCCGCGUGAGGGAUGACGGUUUUCGGAUUGUAAACCUCUGUCCUCUGUGAAGAUAAUGACGGUAGCAGAGGAGGAAGCUCCGGCUAACUACGUG